GAACGCUGGCGGCAGGCCUAACACAUGCAAGUCGAGCGGUAACAUUUCUAGCUUGCUAGAAGAUGACGAGCGGCGGACGGGUGAGUAACGCGUAGAAAUCUACCUAGUAGUGGGGGAUAGCCCAGAGAAAUUUGGAUUAAUACCGCAUACGCCCUACGGGGGAAAGCGGGGGAUCUUCGGACCUCGUGCUAUUAGAUGAGUCUGCGUCGGAUUAGCUUGUUGGUGAGGUAAUGGCUCACCAAGGCGACGAUCCGUAGCUGGUCUGAGAGGAUGACCAGCCACACUGGAACUGAGACACGGUCCAGACUCCUACGGGGGCAGCAGUGGGGAAUAUUGCACAAUGGGCGCAAGCCUGAUGCAGCCAUGCCGCGUGUGUGAAGAAGGCCUUAGGGUUGUAAAGCACUUUCAGCAGUGAGGAAAGGGGUGUCGUUAAUAGCGCCAUCCUGUGACGUUAACUGCAGAAGAAGGACCGGCUAACUCCGUG
This 484-nucleotide ribosomal RNA is filed under the name uncultured bacterium. RNAcentral describes it as "bacterial SSU rRNA". It matches the Rfam family "Bacterial small subunit ribosomal RNA", at positions 31 to 507 of the family's 1533-position model. The record is from RNAcentral.